RNAcentral lists this ribosomal RNA (786 nucleotides) under uncultured bacterium. RNAcentral's name for it is "bacterial SSU rRNA". It matches the Rfam family "Bacterial small subunit ribosomal RNA", at positions 35 to 819 of the family's 1533-position model. The record is from RNAcentral.
GCUGGCGGCAGGCCUAACACAUGCAAGUCGAGCGGUAGAGAGAAGCUUGCUUCUCUUGAGAGCGGCGGACGGGUGAGUAAAGCCUAGGAAUCUGCCUGGUAGUGGGGGAUAACGUUCGGAAACGGACGCUAAUACCGCAUACGUCCUACGGGAGAAAGCAGGGGACCUUCGGGCCUUGCGCUAUCAGAUGAGCCUAGGUCGGAUUAGCUAGUUGGUGAGGUAAUGGCUCACCAAGGCGACGAUCCGUAACUGGUCUGAGAGGAUGAUCAGUCACACUGGAACUGAGACACGGUCCAGACUCCUACGGGAGGCAGCAGUGGGGAAUAUUGGACAAUGGGCGAAAGCCUGAUCCAGCCAUGCCGCGUGUGUGAAGAAGGUCUUCGGAUUGUAAAGCACUUUAAGUUGGGAGGAAGGGCAUUAACCUAAUACGUUAGUGUUUUGACGUUACCGACAGAAUAAGCACCGGCUAACUCUGUGCCAGCAGCCGCGGUAAUACAGAGGGUGCAAGCGUUAAUCGGAAUUACUGGGCGUAAAGCGCGCGUAGGUGGUUUGUUAAGUUGGAUGUGAAAUCCCCGGGCUCAACCUGGGAACUGCAUUCAAAACUGACUGACUAGAGUAUGGUAGAGGGUGGUGGAAUUUCCUGUGUAGCGGUGAAAUGCGUAGAUAUAGGAAGGACACCAGUGGCGAAGGCCGACCACCUGGACUAAUACUGACACUGAGGUGCGAAAGCGUGGGGAGCAAACAGGAUUAGAUACCCUGGUAGUCACGCCGUAACGAUGUCACUAG